UAAACCGGGAGGGGGCACCCGCUGGGGGUACAGCGGGCUUUAUCGGCGGGGCGAGCUCUCAUCGGGGCCCUUCCCAGCGCCGGUGAGGUCGGACAGUGUCGAGGCGUCGGGGACGGGGGGGAGCUCUCCCGUUACCGGCAGGCCCCCCCGGUCUGCGGGGCCGGUGGCUCGGCGGCGGGUGCUGAUUCACGGGCCGGCGGGGGUGGAGCAGGGCCGGGACCCGCUCCCUGGAAUCCGGACCAGAUGUACCCGGCACGCCAGGAAUGCUCGGCAUUCCCGCCAGGCCCCGCCGCCGCCGCUGCGCCCCGGCCGCCGCCACCGGCCCCGCACCGUGAGCCGCCCCGCAGCCCCCCGCCACGGCGCCCACCGGGACUCCGGCCUUCGCCCGCCAACGCCCGGGCCCCGCCGGGAUCCCCAGUGCCUUUGGGGUGACGCUGCGGGAGGAUGAUGGGGGGCAGCUGCCGCGGUGGCCAGCCGGCGGGGUUCCCGGGGCCGUCUGUCCCCGCACCGGGGCCGUCUGUCCCCCCCGCAGCGGGGCCGGACACCCGGGGCUUUCGCAGAACUCGGUCCGCACGGCUGAAGCGCUGGGAGGUGGAAAAGGGGUUUUUUCCCUGGGUGGAAGGGGAAGCAGCGGGGUCCCGCAGCAGGCCCCCGGGGCUGGCGUCCUCAUUCUGUGACAAAAUGACAGGGAAAAAGGCUGCACUCUCCGAAAUUCCCCUGGCGCUGCCGUGGCGGCGGCCGCCUGACAAAGUGUCUUCCCCGGCAGGCGGUGGCUGGCCCCCGGCCAGGUGGGACCCUGCCAGCGCGGAUGCCCGAGGUGCUGCCCCGCCGCCCCGUCCUGGCUAACCGGCACCAGUUCUUCAGUGGCAAGCUUUAUGUCCUUCUCUAGUAGCUAAAGCUGCCAGUUGAAGAACUGUUGAACGUAGCCACUCUCUUCUCGUCACCGGCACCUUGGAUGUCAGCCGGACCCGUGCCCCGAGCGACCGGGAUGAGCCAGUCUGCAGCCUCCCGUGGAUUUGAGGGCUGAGGGUGAGCCCGACCGGGAUGAAGAAGUCUCCUUGCAGCCUCCAGACAGAGCCUUGCCUGGGGGGUCGCCAGGCAGCAGGGCUGUCAAGUGGGGCCCUCCUCGCUGGUGGGGUGAUGCUGAGAUGACUAGAGAAGCCGAAAGAGGCAUUAAACUUUCUGUUUGGCUCAACA
Phalacrocorax carbo (great cormorant) is the source of this 1197-nucleotide non-coding RNA. The record is from RefSeq and is a predicted model, not a curated record. Lineage: Eukaryota; Metazoa; Chordata; Aves; Suliformes; Phalacrocoracidae.